ACGAACGCUGGCGGCGUGGAUAAGACAUGCAAGUCGAACGAGAGAAUUGCUAGCUUGCUAAUAAUUCUCUAGUGGCGCACGGGUGAGUAACACGUGAGUAACCUGCCCCCGAGAGCGGGAUAGCCCUGGGAAACUGGGAUUAAUACCGCAUAGUAUCGAAAGAUUAAAGCAGCAAUGCGCUUGGGGAUGGGCUCGCGGCCUAUUAGUUAGUUGGUGAGGUAACGGCUCACCAAGGCGAUGACGGGUAGCCGGUCUGAGAGGAUGUCCGGCCACACUGGAACUGAGACACGGUCCAGACACCUACGGGUGGCAGCAGUCGAGAAUCAUUCACAAUGGGGGAAACCCUGAUGGUGCGACGCCGCGUGGGGGAAUGAAGGUCUUCGGAUUGUAAACCCCUGUCCAUGUGGGAGCAAAUUAAAAGAUAGUACCACAAGAGGAAGAGACGGCUAACUCUGUGCCAGCAGCCGCAGUAA
This 473-nucleotide ribosomal RNA is filed under the name uncultured bacterium. Its description in RNAcentral is "bacterial SSU rRNA". It matches the Rfam family "Bacterial small subunit ribosomal RNA", at positions 29 to 523 of the family's 1533-position model. The record is from RNAcentral.